Molecule: ribosomal RNA, 253 nt
Filed under: uncultured bacterium
Lineage: Bacteria
Description: partial 16S ribosomal RNA
Rfam family: Bacterial small subunit ribosomal RNA
Source: RNAcentral
UACGGAGGGUGCGAGCGUUAAUCGGAAUUACUGGGCGUAAAGGGUGCGUAGGUGGUUAAAUAAGAGGUCUGUGAAAUUCCCGGGCUCAACCUGGGGAGGCCAGAUUUGACUGUAUGACUAGAGUAUAGGAGAGGGUAGUGGAAUUUCCGGUGUAGCGGUGAAAUGCGUAGAUAUCGGAAGGAACACCAGUGGCGAAGGCGGCUACCUGGCCUAAUACUGACACUUAAGCACGAAAGCGUGGGGAGCAAACAGG